CGGUGAGCAUGUGGUUUAAUUCGAUGCAACGCGAAGAACCUUACCUACUCUUGACAUCCAGAGAACUUUCCAGAGAUGGAUUGGUGCCUUCGGGAACUCUGAGACAGGUGCUGCAUGGCUGUCGUCAGCUCGUGUUGUGAAAUGUUGGGUUAAGUCCCGCAACGAGCGCAACCCUUAUCCUUUGUUGCCAGCGGUUCGGCCGGGAACUCAAAGGAGACUGCCAGUGAUAAACUGGAGGAAGGUGGGGAUGACGUCAAGUCAUCAUGGCCCUUACGAGUAGGGCUACACACGUGCUACAAUGGCGCAUACAAAGAGAAGCGACCUCGCGAGAGCAAGCGGACCUCAUAAAGUGCGUCGUAGUCCGGAUUGGAGUCUGCAACUCGACUCCAUGAAGUCGGAAUCGCUAGUAAUCGUAGAUCAGAAUGCUACGGUGAAUACGUUCCCGGGCCUUGUACACACCGCCCGUCACACCAUGGGGGUGGGUUGCAAAAGAAGUAGGUAGCUUAACCUUCGGGAGGGCGCUUACCACUUUGUGAUUCAUGACUGGGGUGAAGUCGUAACAAGGUAACCAAGGGCGAAUUCUG
RNAcentral lists this ribosomal RNA (584 nucleotides) under uncultured Serratia sp. RNAcentral describes it as "bacterial SSU rRNA". It matches the Rfam family "Bacterial small subunit ribosomal RNA", at positions 930 to 1515 of the family's 1533-position model. The record is from RNAcentral. Lineage: Bacteria; Pseudomonadati; Pseudomonadota; Gammaproteobacteria; Enterobacterales; Yersiniaceae.